AAGUUGCUAGCUGUCCACCUGCUCUCCCGGAAACAGCUAGAGAGGCUGGACUGGAGAAGGUGACAGCCCCAGAGGAGACAGUGCUUCCCAGAUCCAGGCAGGAAGCCUGCUUUCCCCGCCUCGCAGCGUUGUUCCGGGCCGCGGCACUCAAGCCCGGCUCUUGUAGAGCCGCAGCCCUUCUUGAGCCGGGGCUCCCGGGGCAACUCCGGGACGCCGCAGGCCACAGGGUGGGGCGACCGCGGCGGGGCCCUGGGCCUGCUCGGAGGGCGAAGGCGCCUGGCAGUUGUCUCUUUACGGGGAAAUGUAAUCUUCCCUCUGAGAUAACAAAGAGCUGGGAAGUUCAGGAAGGGUUUGUAGGCCCCUCGCCUUGCCGGUAGGUCGGCAGAGGGGGAGACAAAGGCCCUUGCGCUCCAGGACCAGAGAUAACCAGGGGGCCUGCCGCCUCUGGGCUCGGUGGGAGGAGGGGAGCGGUGCUGAAUACAAGUAAGGGAAACGGAGCUCUCCCCAAAGCCCUGGCUGCCUUCUUUGUUUAGGAAUACGGCUGCAGAGCCUUUCCUCUGCCUCGCCGGUUCUAGCAGGAAGGCAGGAGAAUUCUGUAAAGCCAGGAAUCAACUGUGCCCACCACGGCCGAGCACCCCCUCCCGCUCAGGCCAUCAGUGCUCUCUGGUUGGGAGAGAGGAAGCAGAGGAUGGGCUCCCAGGUCCACCAAGCCCAGCCGGCUGGAGUCCCUGGAAAUCUGGGAACCGGCCGGGCUAGCUGGGAGAGCCGUCGCAGGAGGGGGAUGCAUGAGCUGAGAACUGCUUUGGCUCUCCGUGAAAAAGUGGCUGGUUCACAGGCCCUGGGUAGCAGGUGGGCCGCUUGUGCCUUUUGCCCCAGGCUCCUGGAGUUAGGGACAGCAGCCAGUUACCAUCUGGCCGCCAUUUGGUGACCCCUGACUGUUCCUAGUACAGCAUCAGGGAAGGAGGGAGAGAGGGAGGGAGGGAGGGAGGGGGGAGAAUCUUGUUUGGCAUGGUGUUUUUGUAAAUAACGUUUCGGUUCGUUCUGUAUGCUGCGAGCGGGAAAGGGAACUGCCACAUUCAUUCUUGGAGCCGGAGGACAUCUGUGUCAGGCUUUGACUCCAAGAGAACAGAUAAGGAAAGGAAGAGUAUGCUUGCAUUUUUGAGAGACGCCAAGCAAACAUACAGACUCACCUGGGAUAGUGGAAGAAGCAGGCUCUGAGAAACAUCGGAGGAUGGGUUAAGUUGACAUUGGGUCACUUUUGAGUGUGGGUUCCGGACCUGCCACGCCUUCCUGCCUGUGUUCUUGCCAGUUCCCUUGUCAGUUCCGUUUCCACGAUGGUACCUUGACGAUCCCAAGAGUAAUUUCUUAAGGCCGUUGAAAGGAUUAAAUGAGAUACUGCAACAACGCGGCCGGCCUGGUGCCUAAGCACACAGUAAGUUCAGCCUUAGUCAUUCCGUUAGCCCAGGAACUUUGUUUUGACCCAAGCCAUCUCUUUUGGAGCCUACUUUCUAGAUUCUGUAUGGCUUUACUAUCUACUCUCUGCCUACACCCCUGUUGAAAUUGCUUUCUCCAACAGCGGCGGCAGAAAAGGAUAUUUUCCACACUUGCCGCCCUUCCUUUUGGCACCCCAAGAUAAGCAGCCCCCCCCCCUUGUUACGGGUUUUGCUGGGAAACAGGAAGAAAACAAAAACAUGUGUGGAAAAGGAGGUUUAUACAAACCUCAGUCGCACUAUACAACCUCGGUCUGGUUUUCCACCUCCCCUCAGAAUGCUAGCUGAAGGCAGGUUGGCCACUUGUCCUGUUUUUUCUUCAGGACUUUCCAAAGUUUCCCUUCCUCCAACUUACAAACUUUUCCCAGUUAAAGCCAACAAUUCAUCCAAGGCCAAGAGACUAGAGAGGUGACAGAGCAAACAAUUUGCAUUUCUGAGAAGCCCUGGGGGUGGGGGGGUGGGGGUGGAUGAGUUCUAAGGCUUCUGCCUAGGGACAAAGAUCAAAGAUCCAGGCUUAGGCUGAGACACUUGAGGAUUGAACUUUGAAGUGGAUUCCACCCGAGUUGCAAACAAUUUCUGCUAGGAGGCUAAGAACUUUUGGUGAUACUGGGAGAGGUGGAGGUAACGUGGAGAACUAAAAAGCAGGAGAUGGAGAGAAAUCAGAUAGAUACAGGAGAGUGUUUGCCUAGUAUAUACCUAUCCCUGGGUUUGAUCCACAGCAAUACAGAAAGGAUCCCUAAUGCUCCAGGGAUGCUGGUAGGAGGAUCAAUAGUCCAGGGUCAUCCUCCUGCCUUGGUGAGUUUUAGGCCAGCAUGAAACCCUGUCUUUAAGAAGGGAGGAGGAAAGAAGAAGAAAUAAAAAAAAAAAAGAAAAAAAAAAACCAAACCAUAAACAUCUGGCUCUGGUAAUUCUUUUCUAAGAGAUUAUUACACAGAUGUUUUUGUAUAAGAAUAAUUAUUAGGUGAACUAUAUUUAUGUGUAUCUAUGUGAGUGUCUAUUUUCUUAACACAAGAUUACAGUCACGGUAUGAAGAAUCACGUUUAUUCCCUUCCAAUUAGGUAAUAAUUAAUGAUCUUUCUUAUUCCUUUCUUAAAGGUUAUUUAUUUAUUUACUUAUUUGUGUGUGUGUGUGUGUGUGUGUGUGUGUGUGUGUGUGUGUGUGUCUGUGUGGAUAGAAGAGGGUGUUGGACCCCUUGAAUCUGGACUUUCAGGACGUUGUGAGCUGCCUGACACAGUACUGGAAACCGAUCCUCCGAAGGAGGAUGCCCGGUUUUGAAAUGUGGAUGUACAUGGUCUAUUUUUCAAGUUCCCUGUGGACUAGUCAGAAAAUGGACAUGCACGCUGACUUCAGUGGUUUUCCCUCACCAGCAAUGCUGUGACCGUUAUUUUUACCUUCCCGUGGACACCAAAAUUGUAGAUACCCAAAAUCCAAGCAUGCUGGGCUGCCUUACAUAAAAUGGAUGUGUGCACAACAGCGCACUUCUUCCUCUAUGUCAAAGCAUCUGUAAAUUACCGAUAGUCCCCCAAUAUGAUAUAAAUGCGGUGUAAAUAUUGUUAUACCGCAUUGUUUAGGGAAUGAUGGAAAGAGAAAGGUUUGGGCAUGUUCAGCAGACACAACUUUUAAAAAUAUCUCGCACUCUAGACUCAAUCUGUGGAUGUCGAGGCCUUAGGUACGCAAGACUAACAUGUUUGUUCAUCUAGAAUGUCUGGAAAGAACCUCACAAAACCGAUGGACUAAGUGACUAGUGGGACGGAUGCUUUAGAGUAUGUCUAGGUUAGGCUGUUACUGCUGUGAACAGACACCAUGACCAAGGCAACUCUAAUAAGGACAACAUUUAAUUGGUCUGGCUUACAGGUUCAGAGGUUCAAUCUGGUAUCGCCAAGGCGGGAGCAUGGCACCGUCCAAGCAGGCAUGGUGCAGGAGGAGCAUCUGAAGGCUGCUAACACUGGCUCCCACGUUGUUAGGAAGAGUGUCUCAAAGCCAUCCCACAGUGACACAGUUCCUCCAACAAGGCCACACCUCCUCCAACAAGACCACACCUCCUCCAACAAGACCACACCUCCUCCAACAAGACCACACCUCCUCCAGCAAGACCACACCUCCUAAAAGCGAUAGGUCAAGCAUAUUCAAACUACCACGGGAGCCAAUGGUAUUAUUGCUUAGCAGUCAUGGUGUUUUAUCACAGCAACAGAAACCCUAAGAAGUUGAUACCAGGAUAGUGGAGUAUCGCUGUGACAGACCUAACUGUUGGGAGGAUUGUGGAAGGACUUUGGAACUUUGGGCUAGAAAAGCCAUUGAGAGAGAAUUCAAAGCUUGGUGAGCUGUUCUGUAGGAGCUUGGAAGAAUGUUGAAAGCCCUGCAGACAAUGGAAGCCUGGGUCGUGAAUUCCAGACGGAAGUUUGAGAGUCGCUUAAAGACUUACAGGGUAUGUUUGGUAUUUUUGAGUUGAGAAUCUGUGGUUCUGGUUAACUGGGCCUCACAAAUUAGCUGUGGAUACCAUGAGACUAGAACCACUGGAGUAAAACCUUUGGUUUACUGGGACAAUUGGUGCUGGUUAGCUGCAGUUAAGGAAUUAGCAAGGAUUAAGAAGAGACCAGCAUCACUGAAGUGAAAUCCGGGAAGUGUUUCCUCAGGGUCAGCACACAGAAGCUGUGUUCAAGAGGCAACCAAACCUGUAUCUUCGCGCUGGAAGCUGAACUCUGUAUCGUAAGAACCUCCCAGUUAUAUGGGUUUUGAAGGCAUGAAGAGGUCAUGGAGAGCAGCUGAGGCUCGGCACUGUGGGAGGCCAGGAGAGGUAAAAGUGGUAAAAGUGUAGCAUAGUCCAAUUGUUGCAGAAGUCUCCAAUAUAUUGAAGAUGCCAGUACCAUAAGAUGACCACCAAGAACAGCAGCAGCAGAAUAAAGCUGACCAGAACUUAGAAGACAGCUGUGUGUGCUGCAGAGGCCAGAGCUGGAAAAGGGACCCAAGUCCCUUGGUGGAGCCCAGAAUACCAUGAUGAAUCCAGAUAAUUGGACAUUGAGUUAGAUACACAGUUUGGAGUUUGUCUUUUGUUUUGAUCUGAUUGUAGCUGUGCUCUGGUUCCCUUAUAAAAUAAGAAAGUAUUAACUUAUUUUUUAUUUUACAGAAGCUCACAGUUGAGAGACUGCUUUUUUUGUUGUAGCUUUAAAUGGGAUUUUAGAUUUUGUUUUUGUUUUUGUUUUUUUUUGGGGGGGUUUGGUUGUUGUUUUUUUUUGUUUUUGUUUUUGUUUUUUUUUUCUUUUUGGUUUGGUUGGUUUUUUUUAUCUUAUUUUGCUUCCUUCUUUAUUUGAGACAGGGUUUCUGUGUGUAGCCCUGGCUGUCCUGGAACUCGCUGUGUAAACCAGGCUCACUCUGCCUGCCUCUGCCUCCUGAGUUCUGGGAUUAAAGGCCACUAUUGAAACUUUGGAUUUUUUUUUUUUAAAGACUGAGUUCUAAUGUGUUUGAAUUUGUAAAGACCAUGAGUAUUUUUUCAGUUUGUAAAAUGUUUUAUAUUGUGUUGUUGAUGUCCAUGUGUGAUAUUGGGGAUAAACAAGAAAGAAAAGGUUAUGGUUUAACAGUAUCAUGUUUGUGUGUCAAUUUUACAAGGAAUCAAUUGUCUGUCAUCUGGAAUUAGAGUCAUCUGUAAGGAGGGAACCUCAGCUGAGAAAAAACGUUUCCAUGCCAGGCCAUGGUGGUACAUGCCUUUUAUCGAGAGGCAGGCAAAUCUCUGAUUUCAAGGCCAACUUAGUCUACAGAAUGAGUUCCAGAACAGCUGGGGCUACUCAUUUUCUUAAUUAGUGAUUGACGGGAGUGGGUCCAGCCAAUUGUGGGUGGUGCCAUCACUGGGCUGGUGGUCCUGGGUUCUAUAAGAAGACAGGUUGAACAAGCCAGUAAGCCACACUCCUCCAUGGCCUCUGCAUCAGCUCCCACCUCCAGGUCCCUUCCCUGUUUGAGUUCCUGUCCUGACUUUCUUCAGUGAUGGACUUUACAAUGUGGAAGUGUGAGCCAGAUAAACCCUUUCCUGCCCAACUUGCUUUUGGUCAGGGUGUUUCAUCACAGCAAUAAAAACCCUGACUAAGGUAAAUGGUAUGGGUUUUAUAUUUAGGCAAGAAGAGAAAUCAUGGAAAAUGGCCUGUCGGGUAUCCAUUUGGAUAGCAGCAGUCCUUCUAAAUUGUCCCUUACCUGACGGGAAAGAGAUGGGAAACCACCUGAUUGUUUCUGGGAUAGAAUUCAGUUCCUCAGCAAGGAUAGUGAGCAUUCUUAACUGCUUUACAGUCUUGGAUGUGAUUUACAUCUUCAGUCUGUGACUUCCACUCCUGUUGAGUGAUCCGGUCCUUCUUUAUCUUCCUCCUUACACAGUAAAAUACCUGAGGAUGACAGAAAAACAUUAACUUCAAAUUUUGGGACUAGCGUGAAUCGAUUCUAACCUCUUUUGAAAAUAUGGUUUGUGGAGUUUCUUUUAUUUCUCUCCUACUUCUUAACUUCAUGGGCCUGUUUGUUAAAAGUCUUAUUUCGUUUUGUGUUUCAACAGUAUCUUCGAUUGCUUCUUACUGCCCUCCCCCAAGCCCCACCCCCUCCCUAGAUCUGGCUGCUUGCUGUGGUUGGAAUUGAGCUUCUUUUCAAAGACUGGGCUUGGGCUCUGCAGUGAUGCUGGAGAGGCUGGUAGGAAAAUGAAGGGACGUUGGAGGGGGGCUGGCAGCCCCUGGCUUCUGCAUCAUCUUCUGUGCUUGAGCCUGUGUGUGUGGUUGUUUGUUUGGUUUGGUUUGGCUUUUGAGGCUCAUGUUUGUCCGUGUCCACUAUGAACUGGCAAAACAAGGAAGCAGCAGUGUAGUUCUCUCAUUUAAUCCUACAUCGAGAAGGCAGGGACUGUGAUCAACUCCCAUUUCACAGGUGAGAAGACUGAGCCUUCCAGAGGCUAAAUAGCAAGGCAAGGCAAGGCACAGAAGCAAGGCUCCACAUCCAAACAGACUGACUACAAAGCCUUCGCUACAGGAAAAGAGGCUGCUCUCAAUUAACAUGCCUGAAGCAGGGAUUGAGAACUGGUUGGUUUCUCUUUAAAACUAAUUAUUGAAAAAAAAAAAGUAUCAACUAAGCAAAAAAGAAUGGUGAGCAGCUGGAGCAGUAUAUUGAAGAGCACUUGGUGCUAGCCUGCUUGAAUUCAUACCAGCUCUAUUCAGUCCGAUCCAGUGACUGGGUGUGUUUGUUGGGAACACAGGGCACACACACACAAUGCAUUUUUGGGUCCAGGAGUAAGAGGCAAUAUUCCGACUCAAGAAUCGGCUUUCCGGGACAUGGUGGCACCAACACUCUGGAGAUCAGAUUAUCAUGUGUUGGUGGCAGCAGGGAAGAGUAUUGAUGACAAGUAGUGAAUCGGAGAACACUGUAAAAGACAUACCCAGACAGUCUCAUCCUGGCAGCAGGCUGGGCGGUUGCUGGCUCAGGCCUUGUUUCUACUUCAGGUAGCCAUUUGGUUUUAACUCUCAAGCCUCUUGGAAGAUCUAAAUGAGAUUUCCACUGGUCUUAACCAAAACAGAGUAACCCAAGAUCAGUGUUUGUUUCGUUGACCUCCAGGAUUCCCCUGAAGACCAGAAGAGCAUUGCUCUGCCUCACGCACUGUGUACUUUCGUUUUUUGUUUUUUGUUUUUUUUUUUUCUUCUGUCACUUGGGCAAGUUGAGCAGUGAGGCACUGGGGGUCACAUUUCCUAAACUAUAAAAUGGAGGGUCUUAGACUUUGUGAGUUCCAAUCGCUGCAA
This is a non-coding RNA of Rattus norvegicus (Norway rat), 7240 nucleotides long. NCBI's taxonomy places the organism in Eukaryota, Metazoa, Chordata, Mammalia, Rodentia, Muridae. The record is from RefSeq and is a predicted model, not a curated record.